UUAAAUUACCUUCCGUUCAAGACAUAUUCCUUUCCAUAAUUAUCAACAUGUAAUAAAGGCAACAUAAUUAAAAAUUUCAAGCGGAAGUCUUAACUUAUAUAAAAGCUGAAUAGAAAUGCGGAAAGUUUAACAUAAUUCUCUACCCCAGAUUGGUGUCACAAUGCUCACGAACUUCUAAGAUUUACUAAAUACGAUCGUCUGAAAGAAAAUUAUAAACUGUUUGUUUCGGUACAAAAGAUAACAAACUGAAUAAAGAGAGAGAGACUUCGGGCCUGCGGACGUCAGCAAGACUACCUCGGAGUCUCUGGACUGAAGUCAGCUCCCGAUCAAAUCCUACUGCUGAGGUCCAAAAGCUGCUCCUGGAUCUGUGCAAAAAGAUGCACAGAGUGUAGCAUCAGCACAACCGACCCCAUGUGCUGGUAAGUACCUGGCCUAACCCCGGCGAAGUAGUGACGAGGCUAGACAGGACCUACCAAAAACAACUUGUGCAGAUAUAUGCAAUAAAAAGAAAUAUACAGAAUUUAAACAGCUAAGAGGGGGGAAAGCAUGCUAUGGGGAGCUAACAGUUUCAAAUAGAAAUCCUCAAUAACAGAAAGAAAUAACAAAGCCAGAAUGUCAACAAGUAUUAAAAGUCACAAUAUAUACUGCAUCACCCUUCGUGCUUUUACUCUCGUCCUCACCAAAACAAUAUAUGGCAUCACCCUUCGUGCUCUACGCUCUUCCUCACCCAAACAAAAAUCACAAGGCAAAUAGGGUAAGGGAAUCUAUAACCUCGAAGUAAAUCAAAUAACAACAAGUAAUGAAAGAAACAACAUAACUCGGAUAUCAACAAAGAAUCAGAAAGCAACAAAUGCACGACAUCACCUUUCGUGCUUUUACUCUCGUCCUCACCAAAGCAAUCAUAUAAAUGAAAUGUGCAUGGCAUCACCCUUCGUGCUUUUACUCUCUUUCCUCACCAUAUAAUCAAUAAAAUUGGCACAGAAUGGUACAUCGUGCGGCACGACAUCACCCUUCGUGUUUUACACUCUUUCCUCACAAUAGCAAACAAUGCACGGUAUCACCCUUCGUGCUUUAUCACUCUUCCUCACCCAAGCAACAAUCACAAAUAAGGGGCAGGGGAUUAGACAAAUAAUAAUAGAAACCCCGGUAAGGGAAUACAAAUAAAUAGCUAACUCCCGGAAAGGGAGCACAAUUAAGCAGUUAAAACCCGGCAAGGGAACAAUAUCAAUAAUCUCAGCAUCCCGGCAAGGGAGAUAGUCAACAAAGCAACAAGCAUCCCAGCAAGGGAGCAAUUCAAUAAUUCUUUCUCUUUCUUUCACUUUUUACCUCUUAUCUCACUUUACCACCUNNNNNNNNNNNNNNNNNNNNNNNNNCUUCCUCAAACUCUUCACACUAUAUGAAAUUUAUCAAUUUAACAAGGAAGAGGUAUCACAAAAUUCGAAUAAACACAAAUAAGACUCACGGUCAUGCUAGACUCUGGUGUAUCGAUACUCGUCACCAUGCUUAUACGUCGUAUUCAACAAUUAUCACAUAUCAAAUAGGACUCGACUCAUAAUUCCUCAAGCUAAGGUUAGACCAAACACUUACCUCGCUAACAGAGAGUUUCUCCAACCUUGCAUCGUCUAGAACACCAAUCAAACGACCUCAAUCUAUGCAAAUAUUAAUUAACAAUGUCAAAUAUGUUAGUUGGAAUUACCUCAUACUUCUCGUACAAAAUUCAAUAAUUGGCUUACUAUCUAUUCAGCUAAUCCUUUAAUCACUCAUAUAUGUAAAACUCAUUAACUUAAAAAGGUUCCUAAGUAUACUGGACCUUACGUUUUGUUAAUAAACCCCUAGCUAUACGUGACUUAAAAAAACAUUCAAGUCUAUUUACAUGAAUAUGUAAUGUAACUAAUCUAUCAAUAAGGGAAUCUACAUGAAUAUGUAAUGUAACAUUCAAGUCUAUUUACAUAAAAUAUUACCAAGAUCACUGUGUUCCAACUCUUGUCAACGUUGUAAAUGAAUUCAGAGAAUUAACUUAUUCUUUUAUUAUAAUUACUUUGUUAUCAGAAAAGAUCUCCAAUAAAAUAAAUAAAAAUUUAUACCUGAUUUGCUAUUGAAAGGUACGAUACUAUACAUUGUCUGUUAAAGGCACAACGUGAUAGAUGAAACAUCAACAAAGAAAGAAAAACAAGAAAUAAAAAUAAAUUUAAAAAAAAAAUUGCUGACUCUUUACAUGCAUAACUGAAGCAUCUUCACUUAAUUAUUUCUCCUUAGUUUAAUCCAAAAUACAGUUAUGGGAUGAAUUUAACAAUAUACCUGGUCAACUCCACCAAAGACCCUCUACAGCCUUUUCUUCCUACUCGCAUGCGUCGGCGACUACUUGAAGCCCUUUUCUCUCUUCUUUAGGUAUUUGCGUAUCUAUUAGAACUAAAAGAACAAUUUUACUUAUUUACUCUACUUCAAACCUAGCAGCAACGUAAAAUGGGCUUGGCCCAAAUCUUUCGUGCCUAUUAUUCCAAAGCUAUUAUAUUGCUCCCUAGCCUAGGUAAUUAUAAAUUAUGCCUACUAACUAUUUAAUUAGUACGCAAUCUCACAUAUUAUAUUAAACCUGUACCGGGCUCCAGAACCAAAAUACGGGCCCGAUACCAACGAGAUCAAACAUUAAUCAAUUUCUUUAAAUCCUUAGAAUUUCAGUCUUACAAUUUUCAUCAAAAAUUUCUUUCUCGAGCUAGGGACCUCGAAGUAAAUUUCGGGCAUAUGCCCAAGUCCCAUAUUUUCCUACGGACCUUCUGGGACCAUCGAAUCACUGGUCCGGGUCCGUUUGCCCAAAAUGUUGACCAAAGUCAAACUUAUUCAUUUUAACAUCAAAACUUAGCAUUCUUCACAAAAUUUCAUAUUUACGUUUUCUGGCUACACGCCCGGACUACGCACGCAAAUCGAGGCGACUCUAAAUGAGGUUUUCAAGGCCUCGGAAGCACAAAAUGGAUAAGAAAACAGGUGAUGACCCUUUGGGUCGUCACAUUCUCCACCUCUAAAUCAACCCGAGGCUCCGCCACUGGUGCUGUUGCUCGGGGCUAAGCUCUGCCCUUACCUCGGCCUCGCCCUCAGCCCCUAGUGGAAGCUGCUGCUGGGGGCUCAGGCGGCUGAGCGGUAGAUGAGGAAGCGCAUGUUCUCGCCAUCUACGACAGAACAGAGUAGAAAUUCAAUUAGUAUUGGGGAAACAGAACCACACGACAAGAAAGAACAAAUGUGAAGUUUUCCUAACUCGGUAGCUUCUGCGGGAUAAAUACAGACGUCUCCGUACCGAUCCCUCAGACUCUACUGAUCUUGUCCGUGAGUUGUGAGACCUAUGUAACCUAGAGCUCUGAUACUAACUUGUCACGACCCGGAUUUCCCACCCUCGGGGUUGUGAUGGCGCCUACUAAUAGGAGCUAGGCAAGCCAACUUAAAUUACCUUUCGUUCAACACAUAUUCCUUUCCAUAAUUAUCAACAUGUAAUAAAGGCAACAUAAUUAAAAAUUUCAAGCGGAAGUCUUAAUUUAUAUAAAAGCUGAAUAGAAAUGCGGAAAGUUUAACAUAAUUCUCUACCCAAGAUUGGUAUCACAAUGCUCACGAACUUCUAAGAUUUACUAAAUACAAUCGUCUGAAAGAAAAUUAUAAACUGUUUGUUUUUGUACAAAAGAUAACAAACUGAAUAAAGAGAGAGAGACUCCGGGCCUACGGACGUCAGCAAGGCUACCUUGGUGUCUCUGGACUGAAGUCAGCUCCCGAUCAAAUCCUACUGCUGAGGUCCAAAAGUUGCUCCUGGAUCUGUGCAAAAAGAUGCACAGAGUGUAGCAUCAGUACAACCGACCCCAUGUGCUGGUAAGUGUCUGGCCCAACCCCGGCGAAGUAGUGACGAGGCUAGACAGGACCUACCAAAAAUAACCUGUACAGAUACAUGCAAUAAAAGGAAAUAUACAUAAUUUAAACAGCUAAGAGGGGGUGAAAGCAUGCUAUGGGGAGCUAACAGUUUCAAAUAGAAAUCCUCAAUAACAGAAAGAAAUAACAAAGCCAGAAUGUCAACAAGUAUCAAAAGUCAACAAUUUGCACGGCAUCACCCUUCGUGCUUUUACUCUCGUCCUCACCAAAACAAUACACGGCAUCACACUUCGUGUUUUACGCUCUUCCUCACCCAAACAACAAUCACAAGGCAAAUAGGGUAAGGGAAUCUAUAACCUCGAAGUAAAUCAAAUAACAACAAGUAAUGAAAGAAACAACAUAACUCGGAUAUCAACAAAGAAUCAGAAAGCAACAAAUGCACGGCAUCACCCUUCGUGCUUUUACUUUCGUCCUCACCAAAGCAAUCAUAUAAAUGAAAUGUGCACAGCAUCACCCUUCGUGCUUUUACUCUCUUUCCUCACCAUAUAAUCCAAAAUACAGUUAUGGGAUGAAUUUAACAAUAUACCUGGUCAACUCCACCAAAGACCCUCUACAGCCUUUUCUUCCUACUCGCAUGCGUCGGCGACUACUUGAAGCCCUUUUCUCUCUUCUUUAGGUAUUUGCGUAUCUAUUAGAACUAAAAGAACAAUUUUACUUAUUUACUCUACUUCAAACCUAGCAGCAACGUAAAAUGGGCUUGGCCCAAAUCUUUCGUGCCUAUUAUUCCAAAGCUAUUAUAUUGCUCCCUAGCCUAGGUAAUUAUAAAUUAUGCCUACUAACUAUUU
RNAcentral lists this long non-coding RNA (4688 nucleotides) under Nicotiana tabacum (common tobacco). Its description in RNAcentral is "long non-coding RNA (NTAB_LNC017313)". The record is from RNAcentral. Lineage: Eukaryota; Viridiplantae; Streptophyta; Magnoliopsida; Solanales; Solanaceae.